GAUGAACGCUGGCGGCGUGCCUAAUACAUGCAAGUCGAGCGAACAGAUGAGGAGCUUGCUCCUCUGACGUUAGCGGCGGACGGGUGAGUAACACGUGGAUAACCUACCUAUAAGACUGGGAUAACUUCGGGAAACCGGAGCUAAUACCGGAUAAUAUAUUGAACCGCAUGGUUCAAUAGUGAAAGACGGUUUUGCUGUCACUUAUAGAUGGAUCCGCGCCGCAUUAGCUAGUUGGUAAGGUAACGGCUUACCAGGGCAACGAUGCGUAGCCGACCUGAGAGGGUGAUCGGCCACACUGGAACUGGGACACGGUCCAGACUCCUACGGGAGGCAGCAGUAGGGAAUCUUCCGCAAUGGGCGAAAGCCUGACGGAGCAACGCCGCGUGAGUGAUGAAGGUCUUCGGAUCGUAAAACUCUGUUAUUAGGGAAGAACAAAUGUGUAAGUAACUAUGCACGUCUUGACGGUACCUAAUCAGAAAGCCACGGCUAACUACGUG
RNAcentral lists this ribosomal RNA (497 nucleotides) under uncultured bacterium. RNAcentral's name for it is "partial 16S ribosomal RNA". It matches the Rfam family "Bacterial small subunit ribosomal RNA", at positions 28 to 507 of the family's 1533-position model. The record is from RNAcentral.